CCGGUCCCGCGUGUGCCCCGCUGAGGGGAGGGGCGGGCCGGGGGUGGGGGCGGAGGGGUUGUGGUUCCACUGCAGCGGGGGCUCCUGUGUCCUUGUGCGGAAAUGACACACGGAGUCCCGUCACGUCACGCGAGAGCGCAGCGCACGGACACACACAAAGAGAGGGGAAAAUACACGGCGCCCGCCCGCCGCCCCCAGCAACUCCCCGGGCCGCCCCGGCCUGGCCCUCCGCGCGCGGCCCCCACUCCCCAGCCCCGCGCUCCCCCCACCCCCCACGUGGCUCCCCAACUCGGCGCGGGCCGGCUCAGCAAAGUACAGAACUCGUGUCCCAGAAUUGCAUGCUCCCUCUAGCAUAUGUGGAAAGUAGAGGAAACUAUAAAGAAAAAAGUCAUCCAUAAUCCUCCUAACUGGAGGUAAUUAACAUUUUGACGUAUUUUCUUCAUCUGCUUUAUGGCAUUUUUAUAUUACAUUGUUGAGAUAUCUCAGUGACGUCUGAAGUAUGUUAUUAUUGACUGGGUGGCCCUGUAAUGAACAAUUGAUUUUGAAUCUUUACGCAUAAUUUAAUGCUCGGCUUUUUCUGUCAAUAGAGGUUUUGAAGUCCUGUGUUGAGGAAAAUGUGUGGAAGUUGACUUCCCGACUUUCUGUCAUGGAAAUAACCAUUGUGAUCAAAGGUGAUCUCCAUCCAGGUCACAUUGAGUUUGUUGUCCCUUCCAUUUUCUCUGCAGCUUUUUGUGGACGUAUCAGUAAUUAAUAACAGCUGAUGGGUGCAGAGGGCCUACUGCAGGAUUUCCACCCUCAGCCUGACCCUUGAGUUCCUGCCUGUGCUUAACCUGAGAUCAACUCGAAGUAAAAAGACCCCAUGGCCCAGGUUCUUUGCUCUUCUGGUCUUGGCUCAUUUCGUGUUGUAAUUUUAAAGUGCUUGGGGCUCUGUAAAUGACGGAAAGAUUUGGUUAUAGGUCUUUAGAAGCUGAAAGUGAUGAGGAAGAUCACGCUAUGCCCUUUUAAAACAUCGACAGGGUUAUUUCCGAAGCAAAAUCUUUCUUGGAGUUUCCGUUGUGGCGCAUCAGAAAUGAAUCCGAGUAGGAACCGUAAGUUGCGGGUUUGGUCCCUGCACUUGCUCAGUGGGUUAAGGAUCCGGCGUUGCCAUGAGCUGUGGUGUAGGUUGCAGACGUGGCUCGGAUCUGGUGUUGCUGUGGCUGUGGUGUAGGCUGGCAGCUACAGCUCCGAUUCGACAUCUAGCCUGGGGACCUCCAUAUGCCGCAGGUUUGGCCCUAAAAAGACAAAAGAUGACCAAAAAUAUGUAUAUAAUAAUUUCCCUUUGGAAUUUGCUUUAAUGUUAUUUCUUCUAAAGGAAAAUAAAUCUUGU
Molecule: long non-coding RNA, 1366 nt
Filed under: Sus scrofa (pig)
Lineage: Eukaryota; Metazoa; Chordata; Mammalia; Artiodactyla; Suidae
Description: lncRNA (ENSSSCG00070023551.1)
Source: RNAcentral